Molecule: transfer RNA, 73 nt
Filed under: Clytia hemisphaerica
Lineage: Eukaryota; Metazoa; Cnidaria; Hydrozoa; Leptothecata; Clytiidae
Description: tRNA-Ala for anticodon CGC
Rfam family: tRNA
About the family: Transfer RNA (tRNA) molecules are approximately 80 nucleotides in length. Their secondary structure includes four short double-helical elements and three loops (D, anti-codon, and T loops).
Source: Rfam by way of RNAcentral
GGGAAAUUAGCUCAUCUGGUAGAGCACUCGUUUCGCAUGCGAGAGGUACCGAGAUCGAGAUUCGGAUUCUCCA